CACGGGGGGAACUAGCGUUGUUCGGAUUUACUGGGCGUAAAGGGUGCGUAGGCGGGCUGACAAGUCGGGUGUGAAAUUCCAGGGCUUAACCUUGGAUCUGCAUUCGAAACUGCCGGUCUUGAGUACUGGAGAGGUGAGUGGAAUUCUCGGUGUAGCGGUGAAAUGCGUAGAUAUCGAGAGGAACACCGUUGGCGAAGGCGGCUCACUGGACAGAUACUGACGCUGAGGCACGAAGGUCGGGGGAGCAAACAGG
RNAcentral lists this ribosomal RNA (253 nucleotides) under uncultured bacterium. RNAcentral describes it as "partial 16S ribosomal RNA". It matches the Rfam family "Bacterial small subunit ribosomal RNA", at positions 524 to 776 of the family's 1533-position model. The record is from RNAcentral.